Molecule: ribosomal RNA, 460 nt
Filed under: uncultured bacterium
Lineage: Bacteria
Description: partial 16S ribosomal RNA
Rfam family: Bacterial small subunit ribosomal RNA
Source: RNAcentral
CCUACGGGAGGCUGCAGUGAGGAAUAUUGGUCAAUGGGCGUAAGCCUGAACCAGCCAAGUCGCGUGAGGGAUGAAGGUUCUAUGGAUCGUAAACCUCUUUUAUAAGGGAAUAAAGUGUGGGACGUGUCCUGUUUUGUAUGUACCUUAUGAAUAAGGAUCGGCUAACUCCGUGCCAGCAGCCGCGGUAAUACGGAGGAUCCGAGCGUUAUCCGGAUUUAUUGGGUUUAAAGGGUGCGUAGGCGGCCUUGUAAGUCAGCGGUGAAAGUCCGUGGCUCAACCAUGGAAUUACCGUUGAAACUGGGAGGCUGGAGUAUGUGUGAGGCAGGCGGAAUGCGUGGUGUAGCGGUGAAAUGCUUAGAUAUCACGCAGAACCCCGAUUGCGAAGGCAGCCUGCCAAGCCAUGACUGACGCUGAUGCACGAAAGCGUGGGGAUCAAACAGGAUUAGAUACCCUUGUAGUC